Molecule: long non-coding RNA, 340 nt
Filed under: Panax ginseng (ginseng)
Lineage: Eukaryota; Viridiplantae; Streptophyta; Magnoliopsida; Apiales; Araliaceae
Description: long non-coding RNA (PGIN_LNC005532)
Source: RNAcentral
AGAAAGAGAAGUCAGAUAUGAGAUCCAAACUUUUAAUUGGGAUUGUGAUCAAGAGAUGAGAAUAAUAAUAUUAUAUUAUUGUUAUAAUGAAUUUACAGUACAAUAAUUAUGUACUGUGUAUGUGCGGAUAGGUAAUAUUGAGCAAUGACGGUCAAUUAGGUCAUAGCAUAUUACCGUGCUGUGAAACCCUAAUUAUUAAACUCAGUUAUGAGAAAUGACUGAGUAGUAUAUGAAGUUUACUGUGUAUAUGAAGUUACUGUGUACACGAAUGUCGGUAAUUAGAAGAAAAACCCUAAUUACUAUUUUUACGCUGAUAACUAGGACAAACCCUAAUUAUUAC